GGAAUGAAAAAUCUAGUAAUAACCAGCAGAGGCAGGAUUCCACAGGGUAACGUUGUUAAACAGUGGAGCAGAUGUACAGAGAGUCUGUAAAAUGUCCAUCCUUCAGGGUACUCAAAAUGCAGCUGGGCAAGGCCUGACCAACUUGCUGUAACUGAGCCUGCUUUGAACAGGAUCUGGAACCAGCUGGCCUCCAGAGGUUCCUUCCAGCAUACCUGAUCCUGUGGUUCUGUGACUUUUUUUGAGAGUAUUGCCAAAUUGGAAGCCCAGAGCAAUGUUUAUGGGGGAAAAAACCAACAAUCCAGCUCUAAAAGGGAAAAAAAAAUGUCUCGGAAUCAACUAAAGUAAACUACAAGAAAAAGACACAGAGGAAACUAAGCUAUCAAUAAAGCUAUCAAUGAAGCUGUCCAAGAGAAAAGUGCUUUUCAGCAGCAGGGAAUAACGGAGGUUGUGAAGUUAAAAAGCCUGGAGAAUAUCCUGAGGAGAGUGUGAGAAAGCUGAAACAUGUCUAGUAGAUAUGACAUCAAAAAGCCCAAUCACCCAAAGAGAAAGUGUAUACAUGGACUCAUCUUCAAAGACUGAAUUUGACAUUUUUAUAAUUUGUUGUGUGCUUUCUGAGCAUCUGCUGAGACUACACAUCUCAAACAUUACUGGUGGCAGCUAGUCUAAAGAAUGCACUUUCCUGGUGCAAUGGUGGAGGACCGUGACAUGCAGAAAAAAGAAAAUCUCCUGUCUGAAACAGUGACCAGUUCUUCCUAUUCUCGCUCUUCUCCUGGAAGGUGAGGAUGAACUGCUCACCCCACAGUCCUGAGCCAGGAACAGGAACCAGCCUGCUGCGGUCCAGGAAACCCAGGGUAAUACCAGUAUUAAUAUCUGCUUCUGUCAGAGCCAGCCAGAUUACAGCCAAGCCUAAAGGGCAGGGUACUAGACCAGAGGCAAAUGUAAAGGGUGUCUUUCCCUGGGGUGACCAUAAUGUAACAUACAUAGCAUUGCAGACAACCAGAGUGUCAGAUUUGCAUUCUGGAUUCUGAAGCACAGAUACUUGUACAAUAGAUGUUUCUCACAGGCUUAUAUACAGUGUAAAGAUGUGUCCACCUAUGAUACCAGUUAUGGCUGUUUCAGUAGGUUAUUAUACAGUUCUGAACAUGGUCAAAUUAUGUGAGUCUUGCAUACUGCCUGAAUGGUUUUCCAACAGUGGGUUCCAUUUUUCUUUAAUGUACCUCAAAACAUAGUUUCCUGCUCAUGUUUAAUGAAGUAAACUCCUGAUAACUGCAGCAUACACUAUAGUCAUUAUUUCCUCCUCAUAUUUCAGGGCCUUUGACAUUUCAGUCUGCCCAGCAAUGGUUCGUUAACAGGAUGUACUUACAUAUUCAUAUUUCAGCUACUUGUUAUUAACUUCUGUCUAAUUCCAGUAAUGCUCUGAUCCAUCAUCAGAACAGCUUACUCAUAAGCAUUUGGUUCUGCCCAGGUUACAACACUGUUCUGCAGGAGAAGCAGCUCCUUAGGGGCAGAGCUGAGAGCUGGGGUGGAAACUGCUCCAGCUGCCUUGUUUGCGAGUCAUCCCUGUAAGUACAUAAACUUCUAGAAGCUGUGUUGAUUCUUCCAUGCAAUUGAAUAACAUGAUGAUGAUUGUGGAAGAGUGAUUUCUCUGCAUAUACUCCUUGUUGAGGCUAUUAGGACAAAGUAUGAUAGGGCACAAAUAAAAUCAUAAGGCUAGACAUUCAGAUGAUGAACAUCAGUGUGGCAGUGUUAAAGUUCAUCUAUUGCAGUAGAAAAUUACCUUUCUAAUGACAUUAUAAGGUUCCUAUUAUUAUAAGAUAAAUUCAUAGCUGACUGUUCAUUCUGUAUGAGAUUUUUUUUUUGUAUAAUAAUACAAAGAAAUUUAAUUUCUAAUUUUAGCCUCUUUUAUACAUUUAUUUCUACCAUAUUUUUUGAGACAGGGAGUCAGCCUGAGGAAACAUACUGCUCAGUUUGAUUUCAGGUACUAUAGAUGUAGUUUGUUCUUUCUGUUCUAUGCAGAAAUAGUUAAUGACCAAGAUAACUGCACAGUGCACCACAGCUGAAUAUUUCAAAAUACUUCAGGAAAAUUCUUGCUCCCCCUGCAGUCAAAGGAAGCUUUUGCAGUGAAUUUAAAAAGGAAAGGAGGUGUGCAUUUCUGCUGUGGAUGCCAUGAAAAUGUGCUUGAUGUUUAUGUCUGUGUUUGCUUUGCUUUGGCUUGCCAAUACUUACUUAAGAAAGAAACUAGAUUAACAUUUUAACAUCACAUUAUCUCUCAGAUAUCUCUGCUUACUAUCUUUGUUUGCUGUACUUUUGUAAAUAAGAUAAACAGUGAGUAAACAGAAAAAACAACUUCCAUGGUGCAUUUUGUACAAAGUUCUCAGACGAUUAAUGGUGGAGCAUGUGAGUCUGCUAAGACAAAAGAGGACAGGUGGUAUUAAAAAAUCUUAGAUGCAUUUUAAAUGUAGGGAAGUACACUUCUAAUUAAUAUUUUAAAGUACGAUGUGAAC
Pezoporus occidentalis (night parrot) is the source of this 2504-nucleotide long non-coding RNA. RefSeq lists it as uncharacterized. The record is from RefSeq and is a predicted model, not a curated record. The transcript has 3 exons. NCBI's taxonomy places the organism in Eukaryota, Metazoa, Chordata, Aves, Psittaciformes, Psittacidae.